AUCAUACCGGCCACGUAUAGUACCUCACCGCACUGGGAGAGGGGUCAGUUAUAUCACACCGGGUCCAGGCCGAUCAUACCGGCCACGUAUAGUACCUCACCACACUGGGAGACGGGUCAGUUAUAUCACACCGGGUCCAGGCCGAUCAUACCGGCCACGUAUAGUACCUCACCACACUGGGGGAGGGGUCAGUUAUAUCACACCGGGUCCAGGCCGAUCAUACCGGCCACGUAUAGUACCUCACCACACUGGGGGAGGGUCAGUUAUAUCACACCGGGUCCAGGCCGAUCAUACCGGCCACGUAUAGUACCUCACCACACUGGGGGAGGGGUCAGUUAUAUCACACCGGGUCCAGGCCGAUCAUACCGGCCAC
Long non-coding RNA from Amphibalanus amphitrite, 373 nucleotides. RefSeq lists it as uncharacterized. The transcript has 3 exons. The record is from RefSeq and is a predicted model, not a curated record. NCBI's taxonomy places the organism in Eukaryota, Metazoa, Arthropoda, Thecostraca, Balanomorpha, Balanidae.